CCUACGGGUGGCAGCAGUGAGGAAUAUUGGUCAAUGGCCGUAAGGCUGAACCAGCCAAGUCGCGUGAAGGAAGAAGGAUCUAUGGUUUGUAAACUUCUUUUAUAGGGGAAUAAAGGUAUCCACGUGUGGAUAUUUGCAUGUACCCUAUGAAUAAGCAUCGGCUAACUCCGUGCCAGCAGCCGCGGUAAUACGGAGGAUGCGAGCGUUAUCCGGAUUUAUUGGGUUUAAAGGGUGCGUAGGUUGUUUUUUAAGUCAGCGGUGAAAGUUUGUGGCUCAACCAUAAAAUUGCCGUUGAAACUGGAAGACUAGAGUGUGCGAGAGGUAUGCGGAAUGCGUGGUGUAGCGGUGAAAUGCAUAGAUAUCACGCAGAACCCCGAUUGCGAAGGCAGCAUACCGGUGCACAACUGACGCUCAGGCACGAAAGCGUGGGUAUCGAACAGGAUUAGAUACCCUUGUAGUC
This 460-nucleotide ribosomal RNA is filed under the name uncultured bacterium. Its description in RNAcentral is "partial 16S ribosomal RNA". It matches the Rfam family "Bacterial small subunit ribosomal RNA", at positions 338 to 795 of the family's 1533-position model. The record is from RNAcentral.